CGGCCGCGCCCCACAGCCUGCCCGCCCCGCAGCCGGAGCCGGCGCGCCUUCUCUCCAGUCCCCGGGCCGGGCUCCCCGCCCACAGCGCCCCCCGGGGCCGGGGUGCGGGGGUCUCAGGCGCGCCCUCUCCCGCGUCUCCCAGCCACGUCUGCUGCCCGGGAUGCGGAGGAGGAGUGGGGGCGGCCUCCGCAGUCCUGCCGCUUCCUCAGCCGGGCCGUCCCUAAGGCGGCCCUCGGGCCCUCGGCUGCCGGGGAGCGCCCUUCCUGGGCCAGGGAAAUUUGGAUGAAACCUACGUAAAAGUACACUGUGGGCGCUCGCCUAUUUGUUUUCUUCCAAGACAGGGAUAAAACCAGAGAGAAGACCCACGUUGCAGGGCUCUUGAAACAGUGCUCUCUCUGAUGUACCCCAAAGCUGUUUUGUUUCUCUCUGGCAUCUCCGAGCCCCCCUCCUCAUACGCGCAGUGCGUGCUGAGGAAUCUCUGGUGUCGGCAACACAGAGGGAGAUACGAGAUCUGCCUUCAGGAGUAGUCUCUCAUGGAGCAGCAGAGGCUGCUGUUGAAAAUGUUACACCACAAGGAAGAAGGUGGUCAAUUCUGCCGGAGAGGCGCCGACCUCUAGAAAUUCAGAGGGCUCACAGGGAUUGAACUCAGGACCUUGUGCUUGCCAGGCAGAUGCCGUGCCACUGAGCUACAUCCCCGGCCCUAAUUCAUUGUUUUUAAUCAAAUAGUUAUUGGUCACUCCCAAUCGUGUGUUAGAUACUGUGGAAAGUUCUUAAGAGAUGGGAGGUACAUGAAAAUCAUAAUAAAUGUGUAUGACUACAGGGGCACCUAAAAGAGCAAAGGAGAGAUUCGUGAAGAAAAACCACUCAAGAUCAGCUAUGUAAACCAGGUGUGGUGGCAUAUGCCUAUUAUCCCAGCACUUGGGAGGCUGAGGCAGGAGGAUGCAUCGAGCUUGAGCCAGUCUGGGCUACAUAGUGUGUUCAAGGCCAGCCUGGACCACAUAGGGAGAGCCUCUCAAAAAAAAAAAAAAA
Non-coding RNA from Heterocephalus glaber (naked mole-rat), 1029 nucleotides. The record is from RefSeq and is a predicted model, not a curated record. Lineage: Eukaryota; Metazoa; Chordata; Mammalia; Rodentia; Bathyergidae.